UGCAGUCGAGCGGACAGAUGGGAGCUUGCUCCCUGAUGUUAGCGGCGGACGGGUGAGUAACACGUGGGUAACCUGCCUGUAAGACUGGGAUAACUCCGGGAAACCGGGGCUAAUACCGGAUGGUUGUUUGAACCGCAUGGUUCAGACAUAAAAGGUGGCUUCGGCUACCACUUACAGAUGGACCCGCGGCGCAUUAGCUAGUUGGUGAGGUAACGGCUCACCAAGGCGACGAUGCGUAGCCGACCUGAGAGGGUGAUCGGCCACACUGGGACUGAGACACGGCCCAGACUCCUACGGGAGGCAGCAGUAGGGAAUCUUCCGCAAUGGACGAAAGUCUGACGGAGCAACGCCGCGUGAGUGAUGAAGGUUUUCGGAUCGUAAAGCUCUGUUGUUAGGGAAGAACAAGUGCCGUUCAAAUAGGGCGGCACCUUGACGGUACCUAACCAGAAAGCCACGGCUAACUACGUGCCAGCAGCCGCGGUAAUACGUAGGUGGCAAGCGUUGUCCGGAAUUAUUGGGCGUAAAGGGCUCGCAGGCGGUUUCUUAAGUCUGAUGUGAAAGCCCCCGGCUCAACCGGGGAGGGUCAUUGGAAACUGGGGAACUUGAGUGCAGAAGAGGAGAGUGG
This 625-nucleotide ribosomal RNA is filed under the name Bacillus subtilis. RNAcentral's name for it is "bacterial SSU rRNA". It matches the Rfam family "Bacterial small subunit ribosomal RNA", at positions 56 to 664 of the family's 1533-position model. Lineage: Bacteria; Bacillati; Bacillota; Bacilli; Caryophanales; Bacillaceae. The record is from RNAcentral.